This 253-nucleotide ribosomal RNA is filed under the name uncultured bacterium. RNAcentral describes it as "partial 16S ribosomal RNA". It matches the Rfam family "Bacterial small subunit ribosomal RNA", at positions 524 to 776 of the family's 1533-position model. The record is from RNAcentral.
UACAGAGGUGGCAAGCGUUGUUCGGAAUUACUGGGCGUAAAGGGCGCGUAGGCGGCCGCCUAAGUCAGACGUGAAAUCCCUCGGCUCAACCGGGGAACUGCGUCCGAAACUGGCAGGCUCGAAUUCGGGAGAGGGAUGCGGAAUUCCAGGUGUAGCGGUGAAAUGCGUAGAUAUCUGGAGGAACAUCGGUGGCGAAGGCGGCAUCCUGGACCGAUAUUGACGCUGAGGCGCGAAAGCCAGGGGAGCAAACGGG